Molecule: ribosomal RNA, 504 nt
Filed under: uncultured bacterium
Lineage: Bacteria
Description: partial 16S ribosomal RNA
Rfam family: Bacterial small subunit ribosomal RNA
Source: RNAcentral
GAUGAACGCUAGCGGCAGGCUUAGUACAUGCAAGUCGAGGGGUAGCAAGAUUGUAGCAAUACAAUUGUUGACGACCGGCAAACGGGUGCGGAACACGUACACAACCUUCCUUCAAGUGGGGAAUAGCCCAGAGAAAUUUGGAUUAAUACCCCGUAACAUAGCGAUGUGGCAUCACAUUGCUAUUAUAGCUUCGGCGCUUGUUGAUGGGUGUGCGGCUGAUUAGAUAGUUGGCGGGGUAACGGCCCACCAAGUCUACGAUCAGUAGCUGAUGUGAGAGCAGGAUCAGCCACACGGGCACUGAGACACGGGCCCGACUCCUACGGGAGGCAGCAGUAAGGAAUAUUGGACAAUGGACGCAAGUCUGAUCCAGCCAUGCCGCGUGAAGGAUUAAGGUCCUCUGGAUUGUAAACUUCUUUUAUAAGGGACGAAAAAAGGUCUUUCUAGAUCGUCUGACGGUACCUUAUGAAUAAGCACCGGCUACCUCCGUGCCAGCCGCCGCCGUAA